RNAcentral lists this long non-coding RNA (2690 nucleotides) under Homo sapiens (human). RNAcentral's name for it is "non-protein coding LINC02317:5". The record is from RNAcentral. Lineage: Eukaryota; Metazoa; Chordata; Mammalia; Primates; Hominidae.
UUGAGUCUGGGCCUAGCCCUGCAGAUGCCAGCCUCAGAGGUUGCUAGGAUACACCGCUCCCAGAGCCUCCUCAGAGCUGCAUCCUUCUGGAGCAGCUCAGGGACACUGAUGGGCUGUCUGUGCAGUGGGGAGGUGGGAGGAGGAGUGGCACCCCACAGACAGGCCUGCAAAGAAGGGGUUGGUCCGCACUCCUCCCGGAGCUCCAUGGAGCAGGGAAAAUGUCACCCCAGAAGCACCUGUAUACAGGGAUCAAUUCGGACCGCCCACAGUGAAGGCCACUCUGAAUUGUAAAAGUUCCCCAGUCUUAUUCUUCACUGUACUUGCAUUUCUUCUGCAACAUGUCCUUCUAUAUAUAAUUCAGAAAACAUAACCUGAAUGGACGAAUGCCAGCCCUCUCCCCAGCUCCUGUCUGCCUGGUAAACUUCUGGUUCACCAUAAGGCUCAGCAAUGAGCUGUAUCCUCAUCCUCAACCCAGCCUUCAGGACUCCCUCCCUGUGCUCCAGAUGCCCACGCUGACCUCUGCUCACACUCACAGCAGCAUUGCAAGUGCCUGUUUCCCCACUGGGUCUCGUUCUCCUCUGCACUCCUAGCACUUAGCACAACGCCUUGCAUAGGUCAUCUUGAAUGCAUAUGUGAAAGUGUCCUGCUUGCAUGCCUCUGGAGACAGGGAGCUCACUAUCACAAGACCGCUCAUUCUGACAACUUCAAAGUUCUUCCUUAAACACAGCUGAAAUCUACCUGUCAGAAACUUCUACCUGGGAACCUUAGGGAGGCUGCCAGUGCCACACUGAACCAGCCAGCUGCCUCUUCCACAAGACCACUCUUCAGAGUUGACUCUCUCUCCAUUGUCCUCUGCAGCACCCACCAAAAGGUAGUGGGAUAUGGGUCAGACAUUCACAUUCUAAGUCACCAAGCUUGGCUCCCAGGAAGCCUCCCUAAGGUUAGAGGUUCUGGUCCUACUACUCCCUCAGAUACCUGCACCCUCACCCUGGUCCCACUGGGACAUCACCCCAACGGCCCAGAACUGUAGGGCACAAGUCUCGACGCCAGAGAACCCAGGUGGAGGGUAGAGGGUGGGCCUUGCAGCCUCCCUGGGUGUGAGAGUAUCUGUCGCCACCCUUUCCUGAUGCAGGUUAGGGGAUGCCAAGUCCUAAAGAGGAGGCAGUUUUCUCAAAAAUCACCCAGGGAAUCUGUGCUGAUCUCAAACUAGAGCUGAGAGAGGGAGAGACGCAGGCAAGGAAGAGGAGGGAGCAAUGCGCUAGGAUCAAAUUCCACAGUUGACCUGACAUAAGCCAGCUCACUGUGAUUUACGCGCCACCGUCCUUGGGGUGGCAGAAGAGCUGAAAUCCUUUCUGACAUCUCAGGACCAAACUUGUCAAAUCUCAGCAACAGCUUUUCCCCAUCAGCACCCCAGGCUCUCUGAAGACUGUUCCUCGGAAUAGCCUGGAGCUGCCGAGCCAGCCGCGACGGCUCCCGCCAGACUACACGCCUGGCUAAGAGCUCAAACGAGUCACAAUGGGGAGGCUAGUGACCCCCAUCCAGGGACGGCUCCCGCCAGACUACACGCCGGGCUAAGAGCUCAAACGAGUCACAAUAGGGAGGCUAGUGACCCCCAUCCAUUCCCAUGGCAUCGUUUGAAGGGCUCUGGAGCCAGCCGCCUGGGUUCGAAUCCUGACUGUCCCCCUCACCAGGCUCUGGGGAGGAAAGGGAGCCCAUGGCAGACCAGACCCCUGGCCGGCCAGGGUCCCCGGGGUCUGCGAGGAGGACGUUCAUGGGCGAGUGUGUGGUGGUGGGUGAACUGCGGCAGAACCCGAGAUUAACAGCUGGAACCCUCUCCUCUUGCAGGUCUGGGUGAAAAGCGUGGGACCCUCAGCCCAGAGCCGCACAAGACUUGGAUUUGCUUUGGAAACCACUGUGCUUUUCAACAAGAUCGUUCAAAUGGCCUGGGUGGAGACGGGGAGCUGGAGAGUUGGGGAUGGAAGCCGAUUUUAAGCCUGGAGGAAUCCAAACUGCACACAGUAGUCCAAGGCCCUGCCCCGCCUCCGUCCACCACCAUCCUCCCCCCGCACCCCCGCCAUGAGGUCCAUGACUGUAUCCUCAUUUCACAGAUGAGGAGACAGGCACAGAGCAGCAGCCAUGGCCAUGUGGCCGGUCACGCAGUGGAGGGAGGCCCGGGGGCAGGAGAGGGGCGCCUAAGGCCACACAGCAGGGCUGCGCCGGCGCGCAUGGCUGAGAAGCAGGUUCCAGGAGUUUCUGGGAGUUCUUGCUCAACAUCAAGAAACUUCCACCAGGAUCCACGGGGGGAAGUGGAAGCAGCCUUGUGAUAGCAGUUUCAAAGGCCUGGGCUCUGGCAAAUAGGAAAAAACAGGCUGAGAAAACAUAUCAGGCAGGCCUGCUUGUGAGGGAACCUGGCAGACAUCCAACCAGCAGUCUGGUGGCCAAUUCGGUACAUCAGACAUGCGCUUAAUCCAUCAUUCGGCAGCGGGCAGGUCACUGGCCACACAGGCUUCAGACCUCCUGGCUUGAGGGAACUUGGGGUUGCCAUCAGGCCCGUAUGAAUCAGAAAUUCUGGGCUUCUCAUCCCCCACCAGGCACUCCCACACUGUCCCUCCUCUGCAUGUUUGCCUCUCCAUUCUCUCUACCUUCACUGUCUCGGUUGCCUAUGGUCACAGUGAUACUCAAUAAACCAC